GCUUGUCUCAAAGAUUAAGCCAUGCAUGUGUAAGUAUAAGCCCUUGUACGGCGAAACUGCGAAUGGCUCAUUAAAACAGUUAUCGUUUCUUUGAUGAUCAACUUACUACUUGGAUAACUGUAGUAAUUCUAGAGCUAAUACAUGCGGAACCCUCACGGGUAGCGUUUAUUAGAUACAAAACCAAUAUUUCGUAACAGAAAUUCUGGUGAUUCAUAAUAACCUAGCGAAUCGGCCUCGUGGCUGAUGCAUCUUUCAAGUUUCUGACCUAUCAGCUAUUGACGGUAGGGUAUUGGCCUACCGUGGCGAUGACGGGUGACGGGGGAUCAGGGUUCGAUUCCGGAGAGGGAGCCUGAGAAACGGCUACCACAUCUAAGGAAGGCAGCAGG
Molecule: ribosomal RNA, 386 nt
Filed under: uncultured alveolate
Lineage: Eukaryota
Description: partial small subunit ribosomal RNA
Rfam family: Eukaryotic small subunit ribosomal RNA
Source: RNAcentral